Molecule: non-coding RNA, 2744 nt
Organism: Phoenix dactylifera (date palm)
Lineage: Eukaryota; Viridiplantae; Streptophyta; Magnoliopsida; Arecales; Arecaceae
Source: RefSeq, a predicted model, not a curated record
CCCAGAGAAAGAGACCUCCCACUCUCGUUUUUCGAGGGCUCGUCUCCUUCAAAAAAACCCAAGGGCACUCAAACUCCCUCCCUCUCUCUCUCUCUCUCUCUCUCUCUCUCUCCCUCCCUCCCUGCUUCCCAUGUGGAGUAGCGAGAGGAAGCAGCAGUACAAAGGAGGGUUCUGGGUUUGGGCGGGAGUGCGAUUGAUCGAGGGGGUUGAGAGAGCUGCUUCGAUCGGUCCAAAGAGGUCUGAGAUAUAUUCUUGGCGGGAGUAGAGUCGGUUCUGCAGGGAGGCAAACAGCAGAGAAGAAGAAGAAGAAAAAAAAAAAAAAGAUUGCAAGGAAGAAAGGUAAGCAGGCUAUCUAUCUAUCUAUCCAUCUAUCAGUAAUCCUCCUUUAAGCCGCUCCCUCUCCUUUCUCUCCGCAGCUUUCCUGGAUUUCUGUGCUCUACUCAUCACCUCCCCUCCUCUUCUCAUGAAACAUAACCAUAUCCCUCCCAAAAGAUCUCCUCUUUCCAACUUAAAAAAUAAAUAAAAUAAAUAACAAGGAUUUAGAUUAGAUCCUUCCUUGCUGAUCCCUUCAUUCUGAUUUUCUUUUAAACUACUCUUUCCUUUUGGCUGCUAUUUAUAUUUGUUUCCGAGAAUAUAUAAGAUAAAAAUCUCGGUCGUUUCCUCAAACAUUCCAUGUCCGGUCCAUGUUAGUGGUCUCGAAGCUCGAUUCCAAGCUUCAGCCUCAGAACCCUUGUUCACACUCUCCCAUAUCCAUCUCUUCCAACUCCCACCAACCCUCUUCUACUAUGGUCUUUGCUUCCCGGUUUUGCUCUACGAAGCUGCUGCUCGCCAUCCCAAAUGACCGGGUUGCCCUUACCGCCGCUGCGGUCUCGAAGGGUAAUUUGGUAAUCAUGGUAAGGAGGUGACGUGUCGGUGGUCCCGUCUGGGGGGGAGAUCUCUUCGUAGCGUUGUUGGUUUCUGGUCGCCAGAGGCCAGGCACAUGGGAGCGGCAGCGGCUGCAGCAGCGCUGCUGGAUACAUCGAGAACUCUUGCCCCCAGCGGCUCUCAGUGGUGGCGUGCCGCUCUUAGGUCGUGGAGGAGCGGCCGGAGCUUCCGCUAUGGGUACGUGAAACCCGGGGAGUACGUUUCUUGGUCGCCGCGUCCCCGAAUUACCCUCGGUUCGGACCGGCUCUUCCUAGCCGCGCCAUCGUCUCGUGGGAGGUAGCAGGAGGGGCAUUCCCGUCAUUUUGAGGUGGCUGGGUACGAAUAUUUCAGGCUGGGGAGCUAUUGCGUGUGGGAUGGAGGGAAGAGUAGGGGAAGAGGCGGGAGGGGAGGAGGGGAAGAAGUACACUUAAAACCGGGGUUGGUAAAUAUUGAGGAGUUAUAAAAGAGGGGGAAAAGAAGAGGAGAGAGAUUUACUGCAUGCCCUUGCUUUUGUUUCUUUCUUUUUCUCUCCAGGAGAAUGAGAAGAGUGAAGAGAAAGGAAGAGGGGAGAAGGUGUCUCCUCCUUAAAAAGGGAGGCCGGCCUCUACGGCCAAGCUAGAGAAAGAGAGGAAGAUUAAAGCUUUGGUCUCAAACGCGAGGCAUUUGGUUCCCUCGGCACGAGAGAAGGCGCGAAGGCGUCGAUGGCGGUGGCGGUGGCAAAGGAGGAGAUGAUGGUGGGCUACUGGCGGUGGUGGUGGUGGUGGUGGUGGUGGAAGGCUGCAUACACAAGGUGAUGAGGUGGUGUCGUGGUUUUGAGGUGUAUGUUCGCUUGUGGAACUGGGAUAUUGGCGUAAUAGGCUCAAUCACUUUUUUUUUUUUUUUGGGUUUUCUUGUCUACAUUUUAUAUAUAUAUAUAUAUAUAUUUGGUGGCUUUUGUUCUUUUUUUUAGAAAAAAAUUCUACCUUGUCUUCUCCUUUCGUUCCCUAGCGUUGGUUUGUUCAUGUGAAUGAGAUGCGGGCAUGUUGUCGCAUAAAUGGAAUGGAAUGGUUGAUGGUGAUGGUGGGUGGGAAUGGGAAGGUAAGAUGGGGUACAGCUUUUGUUGCUUUUGGCUUGGCUUCAACAUCUCCUUUUCCCUUGCUUCCGUUUUGCAUUGUAGAUUGGAUGCUUUCUUUGGCAUGUCAUCUUCUUCCCUUCCCUUCAUUUCUUUGCUUCUCUUGUCUGUUGUAGUUUGGCUGCUACAUUCGGCCACCAUGCAACAAAUUCCGAUGGAGGCCCAGCAUAGCAUCCAUGUUGGAACAAAAACUAGGAUGUAUAAGGGACAAAGAGGUCUGCCUACAGAUCAUGUCAUGUGGAUGGUGAACUAUCAUCCCCUAUCACCCCAAUACCCCCAUGCAUGCCAUCCUCUUGUCCUCAGUGACGGGAAGAGCUGAAUAUAAUAGAGGUGCGCAUGGGUUUUGUUUACUUGCAACCAAUGGCGACAAGUGGAGAUGUGUACAUAAUUUGUUUAAAACCAUCUAUUCUGUCUCUGAUAUAUUAGUGUGUAAUAGGAUAGAUUGGGUUGUCUUUUGUUAUAUCCGCUGGCUAAGAAGGUGGAAGGCUGUUGUGGAGAUAAAGCUUUCACUUUGAUCAGAGGAUGGGAAAUUUCUUGGUUGCUGGGAGAGCAGAGCACUGUGACUUUCAAUUAUUCCAGGUGAUCAGGUGAGUGAGGCGCAGGUGGUUUGAUCAAUGGGAUAUCCAUCUCAAGUGUGUACACUUUGAAGUUGCUACAUUCUUUAAAAAAAUUGGAAAUCAAGAAAUAAAACCUCGCCACGCCGAUCACAAAGGCCUUGCUGUUGCGGAAA